RNAcentral lists this transfer-messenger RNA (319 nucleotides) under Alphaproteobacteria bacterium MarineAlpha4_Bin1. RNAcentral's name for it is "transfer-messenger RNA, SsrA". The stretch from base 1 to 282 matches the Rfam family "Alphaproteobacteria transfer-messenger RNA". Rfam says of the family: Bacterial tmRNA, also known as 10Sa RNA or SsrA, is named for its dual tRNA and mRNA-like properties. Lineage: Bacteria; Pseudomonadati; Pseudomonadota; Alphaproteobacteria. The record is from RNAcentral. RNAcentral also lists the same sequence under 1 other name.
CCUAUAUAUAUGGCGUCGGGCAACCGACUAUGGCGUUACAGAGCCUUGUGUAAUAAGCGUUGUGGACCCGGGGGCGGUACCCGGCGCCUCCACCAUUUAGGGGGGCGAAACAGGAUCGACGCGCGUGGUAAAGACUUGGUUUGCGCCCGGCAUGGUAUCCGCCGUCAUCGGGCCAAUUCGCUAAUUGCGAACGAUAACUUUGCGGGCGAUGCCCGUCUCGCUGCUUAGUCUGACUAGGUAAGCGCGGCCCGGGGGGCGCCGGGCAACAGAAGCCCCCCAACUUUGUCGCCUGUCCGGCUUGGCCGGGAUCGAAUGCCAG